Long non-coding RNA from Talpa occidentalis (Iberian mole), 1236 nucleotides. RefSeq lists it as uncharacterized. The record is from RefSeq and is a predicted model, not a curated record. Lineage: Eukaryota; Metazoa; Chordata; Mammalia; Eulipotyphla; Talpidae. The transcript has 3 exons.
UUGGAGGGUUGGAACUUUCACCACAGCCCUUGACAUCUGAAGAGGGGAGGGGAGAGGAAUUGGAGAUUGAGUCCAAUUACCAACAGCCAAUGAUUUAUUCAAUUGUGCCAGCAUGAUGGAGCCUCCAGAACAACAGGAUUCAGAGAAUUUUCAAGUUGGUAGACUCCAAACUCCACAGAGCUGCUAUGUGAAAUUUGCCUUAUGAAAUAUUUCAGUUAUUCCAAAAGACCAGGACAUAAAUAAAAAUAUCACCUAGACAAAAGGUGGAAACAACCCAACUGCCCAUCAACAGAGGAAGGAAUGAACACACUGCAGUAUAGUCCUAAGGUUCCCAGCAAAGGCCUCAAAUAUUUGUUGCCUGUGAGCAGCUGUAGAUGAAGCUUCCUCCUGUGCCCAUGAAGAAAGUGAAUUGCAUUACCCGGCUCUCAAGUCCCUGGCUUCUGAUAGGUUCUGCAAACGAGGAAGACCGGAAGUAGGAGAUGAACAAAGGAGAAGUAUUUGUUAGCCCACUCCCUCCCUGCCUGGCCACAGUUCAGGCAGUGGCUGUUUCUCUAGCUCAUACAUCCUGCAGGGAGCAACUUCUCCAUGGCUCCAUUCUCAGCAAAGUCUGCUCCGUUGCCAUGUCCCUAAGCUCUGGAUGUUAACAGCUUCCCAUGGCUACUAGUUCUGGGGUGCCUUACUGAAUAACACCUCCCUGCCAAGAUGCCCAUGUCUUAAGCCCUGGAACUUAUGACUAUAUUUUGCCACAUGACCAAGGGGAAAACUAAGUGGCAGAGGGAACUGAGGAUGCUAAUCAACUGACUAUGUUAGGGAAGUUAUCCUGGUGUGUUUAAGUUAAUCACAGAGGACUUAUAAGCGGGGAGGGGAGGCAGAAAGAGGUCGAAAUGAUAUUAUACAACCACUCAUCUUUGCCAUCUUGAAGGUGGAGGAAGGGGUCUUGAGCCACCUAUAGAAGGUAGAAAAGGCAAGGAAAUGGAAACUGCCCAGAGCUUCCAGCAGGAUUGCAACCCUAACAAUGCCUUGAUUUUAGCCUGGUGAGAUCUGUGUCAUACUUCUGACCUGCACGGCUGUACGAAAAUACAUCAGUGUAGAAGUUACUACGUUUGUGAUAAUUGGUUACAGCAGUCAAGAAAAUGAAUGCAUUUUGUUGGUUCUCCAAUCAUGCUCACAGUUUGUCUAGUUAAAUCCUUUUGGGGCCUCCCCAUUGGCUCAGCGGGUUGAGCCAGUGCUGUGAAG